UUAAGCAUAUCAAUAAGCGGAGGAAAAAAAACUAACAAGGAUUCCCUUAGUAACUGCAAGUGAAGUGGGAAAAGCUCAAAUUUGUAAUCUGGCAGCCAUCUGGUUGUCCAAGUUGUAAUCUAAAGAAGCGCUACCUGUCUUGGAC
RNAcentral lists this ribosomal RNA (145 nucleotides) under Inosperma bulbomarginatum. Its description in RNAcentral is "partial large subunit ribosomal RNA". It matches the Rfam family "Eukaryotic large subunit ribosomal RNA", at positions 34 to 175 of the family's 3401-position model. Lineage: Eukaryota; Fungi; Basidiomycota; Agaricomycetes; Agaricales; Inocybaceae. The record is from RNAcentral.